RNAcentral lists this ribosomal RNA (253 nucleotides) under uncultured bacterium. RNAcentral's name for it is "partial 16S ribosomal RNA". It matches the Rfam family "Bacterial small subunit ribosomal RNA", at positions 524 to 776 of the family's 1533-position model. The record is from RNAcentral.
UACGGAGGGUGCAAGCGUUAUCCGGAUUCACUGGGUUAAAAGGGUGCGUAGGCGGAUUGGUAAGUCCGUGGUGAAAUCUCUAAGCUUAACUUGGAAACUGCCAUGGAUACUAUUAGUCUUGAAUAUUGUGGAGGUUAGCGGAAUAUGUCAUGUAGCGGUGAAAUGCAUAGAUAUGACAUAGAACACCAAUUGCGAAGGCAGCUGGCUACACAAAUAUUGACGCUGAUGCACGAAAGCGUGGGGAUCAAACAGG